UACAGAGGGUGCGAGCGUUGUUCGGAAUUAUUGGGCGUAAAGGGCGCGUAGGCGGUGCGGUAAGUCACCUGUGAAAUCUCCUGGCUCAACUGGGAGCUUGCAGGCGAAACUGCCGUGCUGGAGUGUGGGAGAGGUGCGUGGAAUUCCUGGUGUAGCGGUGAAAUGCGUAGAUAUCAGGAGGAACACCGGUGGCGAAGGCGGGACUCUGGGCCGAUACUGACGCUGAGGAGCGAAAGCGUGGGGAGCAAACAGG
RNAcentral lists this ribosomal RNA (253 nucleotides) under uncultured bacterium. Its description in RNAcentral is "partial 16S ribosomal RNA". It matches the Rfam family "Bacterial small subunit ribosomal RNA", at positions 524 to 776 of the family's 1533-position model. The record is from RNAcentral.